AUUCUAAGACCAUCUCCAACACGCAGGGUUCUCUCA
This 36-nucleotide small RNA is filed under the name Arabidopsis thaliana (thale cress). Its description in RNAcentral is "ATSL179820". The record is from RNAcentral. Lineage: Eukaryota; Viridiplantae; Streptophyta; Magnoliopsida; Brassicales; Brassicaceae.